CCCGAUGGUAUCUUAAGCACGCAUGAGAUUAAGAUUAAAGAUUUAUCGGUAAGCGAUGGGGAUGCGUUCCAUUAGGCAGUUGGCGGGGUAACGGCCCACCAAACCUACGAUGGAUAGGGGUUCUGAGAGGAAGGUCCCCCACAUUGGAACUGAGACACGGUCCAAACUCCUACGGGAGGCAGCAGUGAGGAAUAUUGGUCAAUGGGCGAGAGCCUGAACCAGCCAAGUAGCGUGAAGGAUGACGGCCCUACGGGUUGUAAACUUCUUUUGUGCGGGAAUAAAGGAGCCUACGUGUAGGCUUUUGCAUGUACCGUAACGAAUAAGCAUCGGCUAACUCCGUGCCAGCAGCCGCGGUAAUACGGAGGAUGCGAGCGUUAUCCGGAUUUAUUGGGUUUAAAGGGAGCGUAGACGGGUUUUUAAGUCAGCUGUGAAAGUUUGGGGCUCAACCUUAAAAUUGCAGUUGAAACUGGAGACCUUGAGUACGGUUGAGGCAGGCGGAAUUCGUGGUGUAGCGGUGAAAUGCUUAGAUAUCACGAAGAACUCCGAUUG
This 549-nucleotide ribosomal RNA is filed under the name uncultured Bacteroidales bacterium. RNAcentral's name for it is "bacterial SSU rRNA". It matches the Rfam family "Bacterial small subunit ribosomal RNA", at positions 169 to 715 of the family's 1533-position model. Lineage: Bacteria; Pseudomonadati; Bacteroidota; Bacteroidia; Bacteroidales. The record is from RNAcentral.